UGAAAAAUGAGAGUUGUCCCAUAUGUUUGUUAUAAAAACAUUAUGAAGAAUCUUAAUUGAGUGUUUUUGAAAAUAUAUAAUUUAGGUCGUUGGUAAGGUGUAUAAGAAUAAUAUUGAAUAGUCUGAAUUAGUUAUGUAGAGAUUACCUUUUAUGUUGUAUAUGAUUUAGUAUAUUAAAAAUAAAAUACAUUGCAUCACUUUUAUAAAAAAAUAAUAUUUGCUUACAAAAAUAACCCUACAAAUAUGAUGGAAAAGAUAUAUAAAAGGUUUUGAGGGAUAAUUAUUGUGUCUUUAACCAUGCUAAUACAUGCAUUAAAACUCCUUACACUACUAAUGUCAUGAAUUU
RNAcentral lists this long non-coding RNA (346 nucleotides) under Solanum tuberosum (potato). Its description in RNAcentral is "long non-coding RNA (STUB_LNC007637)". The record is from RNAcentral. Lineage: Eukaryota; Viridiplantae; Streptophyta; Magnoliopsida; Solanales; Solanaceae.